This is a non-coding RNA of Peromyscus maniculatus bairdii (prairie deer mouse), 381 nucleotides long. The record is from the annotation of a RefSeq genome assembly. NCBI's taxonomy places the organism in Eukaryota, Metazoa, Chordata, Mammalia, Rodentia, Cricetidae.
CUCACCAUGGGAUGCAGCUGGAUCAUCUUCUUCCUCCUGUCAGUAACUACAGGUGUCUACUCUCAGGUCCAGCUGCAGCAGUCUGGGGCUGAAUUGGGGAAAUCUGGGGCCUCAGUGAAGUUGUCCUGCACGGCUUAUGGCUACACCUUCACAGACCACUAUCUUACCUGGGUGAAGCAGAUGCCGGAACAGGGACUGGAGUGGAAUGCAUGGAUUAUUCCUGGAAGUGGUGAUACUGACUACAAUCAGAAGUUCCAGGGCAAGGACACACUGACUGCAGACAAAUCCUGCAGCACAGCCUACAUGGAGCUCAGCAGCCUGACAUCUGAGGACUCUGCAGUCUAUUACUGUGUGGACACAGUGUUGCAACCCACAUCCUGA